Long non-coding RNA from Labeo rohita (rohu), 202 nucleotides. RefSeq lists it as uncharacterized. Lineage: Eukaryota; Metazoa; Chordata; Actinopteri; Cypriniformes; Cyprinidae. The transcript has 4 exons. The record is from RefSeq and is a predicted model, not a curated record.
UUACGCUUUGAUUUGAAUGAAAACAGCGUAUCCGUGUGACGCAGCUGACACGAACGAACGAAGCUUUUACGGGUUUAGAACGACAUUUGGACUGAUCAUUGAGCUUCAUCUCCUGAGCAAUUCUUAAGCAUUUCGAGCACUUCAAACUCUCCACUGCACAUUUUCAGAAAAUCUAUUCAGAGCACGACCUGCAUUUUUCUCU